AUCUCUUUGGAGACAUCCAAUAAAAUCCGAACAAACAAGAGAGGAUUAGCAAGGCCCCUACACAAGGAUGACAUGCACAAAUCAAGAAAAGGUUUAUAUGUUG
Molecule: small nuclear RNA, 103 nt
Organism: Elaeis guineensis (African oil palm)
Lineage: Eukaryota; Viridiplantae; Streptophyta; Magnoliopsida; Arecales; Arecaceae
Source: RefSeq, a predicted model, not a curated record